AGAUUGAACGCUAGCGGGAUGCUUUACACAUGCAAGUCGAACGGCAGCGCGGACUUCGGUCUGGCGGCGAGUGGCGAACGGGUGAGUAAUAUAUCGGAACGUGCCCAGUAGCGGGGGAUAACUACGCGAAAGCGUGGCUAAUACCGCAUACGCCCGUACGGGGGAAAGGGGGGAUCGCAAGACCUCUCACUAUUGGAGCGGCCGAUAUCAGAUUAGCUAGUUGUGAGGUAAAGCUCACCGAAGGCGACGAUCUGUAGCUGGUUUGAGGAGGACGACCAGCCACACUGGGACUGAGACACGGCCCAGACUCCUACGGGAGCAGCAGGUGGGAAUUUUGGACAAGUGGGGAAACCCUGAUCCAGCCCAGUCCCG
RNAcentral lists this ribosomal RNA (372 nucleotides) under uncultured soil bacterium. RNAcentral's name for it is "bacterial SSU rRNA". It matches the Rfam family "Bacterial small subunit ribosomal RNA", at positions 26 to 401 of the family's 1533-position model. The record is from RNAcentral.